AGCUGGGUCACGUUGUUUUGCUGUGAGCGGUGAGAGUGUUCGUUACACAGUAAUUUAAUCAUAUUUUCGAAGUGCAUAAACAAACUGUGAUCCGUACCGUGUGCAUUAACCAUCAGGAAACCUCUGGACUCGUGUAACGCCAUUAGUUCGCCUUAUGUUUCGUGUGAUACGCCAGUGUCUUGUGUAGCGCCCGUCCGAGCGGCCUUUGUUCUCGCCUGUCCGCGUUCGCUCGUGGAAUACCUGAUACUGUGGCUUCGAAUUAUGGUGCGUGAAAGAAUUUGUUGACAGUUGUGCUUUCGUGCGCUGGUGUUCAUCGGCGAUUCAACAGUGUUCGCGCUGGAAAGAGUGUCGUCGCGUGGUGCCUGCGAGACGAAGAAGCCGUUUGCUGACCACAUUGAAGGUGCCUUGUGAGCUCUCACCCAAGCAACACAUUCCAGAGGUCUGCUGUGAGCAGACGUGGCAAACUGAAGUAACAUUCAGAUAGUCCAAUAAACUGUUCGUAGUUUCAGACAAA
This is a long non-coding RNA of Dermacentor albipictus, 514 nucleotides long. RefSeq lists it as uncharacterized. Lineage: Eukaryota; Metazoa; Arthropoda; Arachnida; Ixodida; Ixodidae. The record is from RefSeq and is a predicted model, not a curated record.